UUCAAAAGUUCAUGUUUUUCGUCC
RNAcentral lists this non-coding RNA (24 nucleotides) under Arabidopsis thaliana (thale cress). Lineage: Eukaryota; Viridiplantae; Streptophyta; Magnoliopsida; Brassicales; Brassicaceae. The record is from RNAcentral.